Molecule: ribosomal RNA, 1267 nt
Filed under: Arthrobacter sp. BJC16-A34
Lineage: Bacteria; Bacillati; Actinomycetota; Actinomycetes; Micrococcales; Micrococcaceae
Description: bacterial SSU rRNA
Rfam family: Bacterial small subunit ribosomal RNA
Source: RNAcentral
GUGAGUAACCUGCCCUUGACUCUGGGAUAAGCCUGGGAAACUGGGUCUAAUACCGGAUACGACCGCUCACCGCAUGGUGUGGUGGUGGAAAGCUUUUGCGGUUUUGGAUGGACUCGCGGCCUAUCAGCUUGUUGGUGGGGUAAUGGCCUACCAAGGCGACGACGGGUAGCCGGCCUGAGAGGGUGACCGGCCACACUGGGACUGAGACACGGCCCAGACUCCUACGGGAGGCAGCAGUGGGGAAUAUUGCACAAUGGGCGAAAGCCUGAUGCAGCGACGCCGCGUGAGGGAUGACGGCCUUCGGGUUGUAAACCUCUUUCAGUAGGGAAGAAGCGAAAGUGACGGUACCUGCAGAAGAAGCGCCGGCUAACUACGUGCCAGCAGCCGCGGUAAUACGUAGGGCGCAAGCGUUAUCCGGAAUUAUUGGGCGUAAAGAGCUCGUAGGCGGUUUGUCGCGUCUGCUGUGAAAGACCGGGGCUCAACUCCGGUUCUGCAGUGGGUACGGGCAGACUAGAGUGAUGUAGGGGAGACUGGAAUUCCUGGUGUAGCGGUGAAAUGCGCAGAUAUCAGGAGGAACACCGAUGGCGAAGGCAGGUCUCUGGGCAUUAACUGACGCUGAGGAGCGAAAGCAUGGGGAGCGAACAGGAUUAGAUACCCUGGUAGUCCAUGCCGUAAACGUUGGGCACUAGGUGUGGGGGACAUUCCACGUUUUCCGCGCCGUAGCUAACGCAUUAAGUGCCCCGCCUGGGGAGUACGGCCGCAAGGCUAAAACUCAAAGGAAUUGACGGGGGCCCGCACAAGCGGCGGAGCAUGCGGAUUAAUUCGAUGCAACGCGAAGAACCUUACCAAGGCUUGACAUGAACCGGUAACGCCUGGAAACAGGUGCCCCGCUUGCGGUCGGUUUACAGGUGGUGCAUGGUUGUCGUCAGCUCGUGUCGUGAGAUGUUGGGUUAAGUCCCGCAACGAGCGCAACCCUCGUUCUAUGUUGCCAGCGCGUGAUGGCGGGGACUCAUAGGAGACUGCCGGGGUCAACUCGGAGGAAGGUGGGGACGACGUCAAAUCAUCAUGCCCCUUAUGUCUUGGGCUUCACGCAUGCUACAAUGGCCGGUACAAAGGGUUGCGAUACUGUGAGGUGGAGCUAAUCCCAAAAAGCCGGUCUCAGUUCGGAUUGGGGUCUGCAACUCGACCCCAUGAAGUCGGAGUCGCUAGUAAUCGCAGAUCAGCAACGCUGCGGUGAAUACGUUCCCGGGCCUUGUACACACCGCCC